This 65-nucleotide transfer RNA is filed under the name Rhabdosynochus viridisi. RNAcentral describes it as "tRNA-Met". Lineage: Eukaryota; Metazoa; Platyhelminthes; Monogenea; Dactylogyridea; Diplectanidae. The record is from RNAcentral.
UAAAAAGAUAAGUUAUGUAUAAACUAAUUGAUUCAUGAUCAAUAAAAACCUUUGGUUCUUUUUAA